Dreissena polymorpha is the source of this 1659-nucleotide long non-coding RNA. RefSeq lists it as uncharacterized. The record is from RefSeq and is a predicted model, not a curated record. The transcript is spliced from 3 exons. Lineage: Eukaryota; Metazoa; Mollusca; Bivalvia; Myida; Dreissenidae.
CGCUUUUGGUUUACAAACAAUGCAUCUCAUUUCUUUGAUCGAAAAUAUAAAAAAAAGAGAAACAAAAGCCGGAGCCAGCGACAUCGCUCGAGUUUAUUCAAUCUUGGCGACAAGACUGAGUGUUUGCAGAACCAUAGGAGUAUCGUUGGAAAAGACGAUGACAGGGUAAUGGCUUAAACACACGAAUUGUAUUUAGGAAGACGUGUCGGCCAAACUAUUGCAAGUUUGAUUGUUCAGCAUAAUGUUAGAACAACAAACUCUUCACCUAUGCACGGUCAUCAGCCCCCGCCAGGUCCAGUCCUGUCAUUUGUGUCACAAGGAAGUACCACACCUGGUCAUGUGUCAGGAAUUGGAGAGAUAACAUCUUACUUAGAAGUAAAUUGAAGGCAGCCAACAAUUGGACGGUGGUGCCAAUCAAUGAAAAGAAGGGAUACACGUACAUGCACUGAGGACACAGAGAUCAUCAAGGAAAAAAAACCUUCGAUCAAAGUUCCUUUUUGAUUCAGCUUAUCCAAAGCUGAUUGCCUCUACAAUUGCCCCUUAUAUAUCCACCUGCGGCUAAUGAGGAGCUGCAAUAUCCAAUAGGUCAAGGGCAAGCAACCCGGAAACAAUAUGAAGAUUUACUCAUACAAAUUGGUACAUGGUGUAUGUAACUAUGUUGUUUUAACUAACUUCAACAUAACUGACUAUGGGUAGGAACAUGUUGUGUGACUUUGGCAGCAUGGUUUAAUUGGAUGUAUACCAUUGAGUAUAAAAGUGCAUGUGUGACCCUGGCUGUUUUUUCAGUCAGUAGAUGACUUUAGUAUUUGAAAUGAUGCUUGAAUUUAUUUGUGUAAUAUGAAGGCGUGACCAAAUGUGUGACAUUAUGGUCGACUGUCCUGUCAUCAUCAUGGUGAUAAAAUGUGAUUUUAAUAAGUGAACUGCUUAUAAACAUAGGGCAGAAAUAUCAUUGAUAAAAUACUGAUGAACAUAGCAUACAAGUGCCCUGAAAUGCCAUGAGAAUAUGUAUUUGAGUUUUAAGUGUGUAAGGUAUUGUGAAUUUUGUUAAUUGUUUUGUUUUAAAAAUAUAGGAUCCAAAGUAUUCAAUCAUAGAUCACUCUGAAAAAGAAGAAUAAGUAAAAACCUUGUCUGGCAAAUAACUACAUAAAUAAUGGGCCAAGUUCCAGAUUUUUUUUGUCACAAGUCAAGACCAUUAACAGGAAUUGUUGACUCUUAUAGGUGUUAUGUAUCAUGAUUUGUGUUAAGUUUUUGAUGGGAGACCCAUGAUCAAACAUGGUGAAUUAAUUGUUUUGUUAAUACAAUAGAGGAUCCAAAGUAUUUGAUCAUAGGUAACUCUGAAACAGAAGAAUUUGUGAAAACCUUGUCUGGCAAAUAGCUAAAUAAACACUGGGCUCAGCAUUUUCCUGAUUUUUUGUCACAAGUAAAGACUAUGAAAAGGAAUUAUUGACUCUUUUAGGUAUAAGCUACCAUAGUCAAUGUUGAGUGCGUGCUGCACACCACAUUUGUUUAUGUUCCAUUAACAAUGACAUCAAAGCACAAUGCUAUAUAUAGAUUAUGUAUUGUUUUCCAUUGUUUAUCAGUCUAUAAACAACCAUUUAUUGUAAUAGCCUUACAUAAACUGUCAUAAAGAUGAUAAAGUGCUGUUAAUCCAUAAAUAAA